RNAcentral lists this ribosomal RNA (253 nucleotides) under uncultured bacterium. Its description in RNAcentral is "partial 16S ribosomal RNA". It matches the Rfam family "Bacterial small subunit ribosomal RNA", at positions 524 to 776 of the family's 1533-position model. The record is from RNAcentral.
UACAGAGGGUGCGAGCGUUACUCGGAAUUACUGGGCGUAAAGCGUGCGUAGACGGUUAUUUAAGUCAGAUGUGAAAGCCCCGGGCUCAACCUGGGAAUUGCAUUUGAGACUGAAUAGCUAGGGUGCGGUAGAGGGAAGCGGAAUUUCCGGUGUAGCGGUGAAAUGCGUAGAUAUCGGAAGGAACAUCAGUGGCGAAAGCGGCUUCCUGGACCAGCACCGACGUUCAGGCACGAAAGCGUGGGGAGCAAACAGG